Sus scrofa (pig) is the source of this 11192-nucleotide non-coding RNA. The record is from RefSeq and is a predicted model, not a curated record. NCBI's taxonomy places the organism in Eukaryota, Metazoa, Chordata, Mammalia, Artiodactyla, Suidae.
ACAGCUCACGGCAAUGCCGGAUCCUUAACCCACUGAGCAAGUCCAGGGAUCGAACCCGCAACUUCAUGGUUCCUAGUCGGAUUCGUUAACCACUGCGCCACAACGGGAACUCCACUACUGCUUUAGUCUUAACCUGACACCUAAUGUCCUCCUCAAUCAAACUCUAAAUGACUUUCCAGCCUAAUUUACAACUAGCUAGCGACAGACAACCCACUUUUUACCCAAACAGACUACUAGUUUCUCCUGUGGAACUCAAAUCGUCCACCACUCCUCCAAGCCUUCACUCCACCACUGCCUUUCCUGGACCAUUCUGCACUCAUCUUCCCAUGUUGAAUUCUAUGCCUAAAUUUUAAAUGCUAGCUCGAAUUUCAAGUUUUCCUUUUUCUGAAAGUCUGUGAACUUGAUUUCAUAAAUCUUUUUGGCAUGUAUUACAAUACCUACUUGAUUUUGUUAUUUGUAUUCACACCCUAUAUGCCCUUACGUGACCUCAAAGAGUUUUAGACUCCUUGAAGGCAAAAGCGAUGCUCUAAACAAUUUCCUAUCUUCUGUAGUAGCUGACAUAGUACCUUAUCUAUAGAAAGCAAGGGGGAGACAUUUGUUCCAUGGACAAAUCUGUUUCCCCAUGGUCUUGCCCUGAACAGUCCUGUCAAAAAGAAAAAAAAAAAAAAAUGUAUAGUCAGGUUUCUAUGUGUAUUCAUGUAAAGGAGAUCAAGAGAAAAGAAACGGUGGAACUGUGAAAAUGAGGGGCAAAUAAAAAUAACCAUAAUUUCUUAAUUAUUCAGUAAUAUCCAAGAAGGUAAACUGUGCAAGUCAUAGUCUUUCUUCACUCUUUGUAUUCAGUUCACUUUUUUUGCAACUUAAUUUUGACGAAUUCAUACAGGAGACAUUAACUCAUUAAAGUUUUCAGUAUCCCUGGAGGUCAGAAGGGCUGCUGUGUUCACUCUGUAGAUGGGGAAACUGAGAUCAUCAGUGACUUAAACAAGGACGCAUGGCAUAGAAAUGAGGCAUAAACCUCCAGGUGCCGUUUAUAGGAUUUGGAUUCCCAGCUUGCAACUCUUCACCUUUUGUCUCUCUCCCCAAAGUUAUGAUCUUUUGGAGGGACAUAGGAAAAUCGGUUUGUUUCCCACCAUCGUGAGUAUUAUAACAGCCCCUUCAAAGCCCCCUUGACACAUUCAGUAGCAUCAACAUUCAAGAACAUUCAGUCUUCUUUGGUACUUGCCGAUUGAUAGCAUAAUGUACACACAGAGGUGCCGCUUUAACACAGAAAGCCCACAGCACUGUACUCAGCAGAUCCCACCAAAAACCCAUGGGGGCAGGUGGCAUGAAUAGCAAGGUACCACCAGGCUAAUGUUACGUGCUCAGGAGAUGCACAUUUUCCUUUAAUCCCUUUUUGCUGGCUUCCUCAUUUUGCCUGUGGAGGAGUGGCUGUUGCAUCCGUGUUCUAUCCAUGUAAUGUUGAACCGUGAGCAUCACUUGGUUUUUGCCAAGCAGAACUUACAGCUGAUGACAAGCUGUUGCUGAGAAAAUGAAAAAUUUUCUGAAUUCAGUUCUGCAUGGAAACAGUUGACCAAUUGCCAUUGCUGUAAUACGGCUCUUUUGCUCUUGGUUGAUUUUGAGUAAUAGCUUCACUUCUGCAGAAAGGAGAUUUUAUUUGAAGUCCAUUCAGAGAUUUGGUUCAACAAACCAGACUACAGGUCUCAGAAAAUCUUUUUUGAACCUUCCAAUAAUAGACUUUCUCAUCUGUUAUUCCUGGAACACUUUAUCCUUCACAGCCGAGCAUAUGGAUGGCUUUGUUGUUCACUGUGUUCUGUUUGCCUUUAUGACCUACCUUUUCAGUACAAAUAGAAUAAAAUCUUUUUCAUUUUUGCAUUAAUUGCUUGAAUUCCCACUUUCCCUCAUCAGCAGGAAGUCCAGUAUCUUCUUGAGAACUUCCUUUUCUCAAUCCAGGAACUUACUUGGUCUGUAAGUUGUCGGUCUUAUUUCUAAAUAAUAAGGGGGGAAACAAAUUAUAGCUGUUGUCAUCAGGUCUGUCUCCUUUUUCAAAACCGGUCCUAUGUAGACCUGUGGACCCUUGUCCACUGGAUGGUGGUACACUAGCCAGGCUAGGUUCCUGUGCAGGUGGCAGUCGUGCCCCAGGUUUAACUUAAAAGUUACAGUAGGCAUGAUAUCAAAAUAUUUGGUAAGGCACAAGUACUAAAUAAUCAAGCUUGAAUGAUUGGUAGAGCGGUAGAGAAUAACAACUGGUUAUUAGUCCUGGGUAACCGUUCUUUUCAGUUCCCUGCACAUGCCAGCCCCUUUUCCCCCAAGAAACCCCCUCCAUGCUGAAGUGGCUGAACCUGGAGGAGCUGCCAGCCUGGACCACCUGCUGUAUCAGAACCAGCCCACCUCCAGAGCUGUGAAAGAGCUGAAUUACCAUUCUUGGCAACUUCUUUCUUCAAGGCAGAUCUGACAGCUCAUGUCCAAAUGGCACGUACACCCUUGGUGGUAUGCUGGAUCUCUUCGUUCACCAAGUACCGUGUGCCGUGCCCUGUGUUAGGGGCUGGGGAUGUGGAAAUGACUGAUACAGUCGUAGGUCUCAGCGUUGAAUAGAUGACCUCGUAGAAUGAGGGCCUUGAUAGAGAUGAAGCUUGGGAGCCACGGAGAUGCACAGAAGGUGGUGGGACAAGGCUGUCCAGACAGGUUUCCAGGGAGGCAACCCUGGGCUAGAUUGUAAAGGGGGGCUCAGGGCUGUGUUGAGGAGAAGUGGGUAGAGGAUGUCCACACUCAAGGUCAUAGCAAGAGCAGAGAGAGGGAGGGGGUGGUACCCAGGAAACUGCCCAGGGGCCAGUGAGGGACUUGCAAGGUGGAAAGGCCAAAGAUGAAGACUGGGCCGCAGUGAGAACACACAGGGCUCCAGAGUGAGGAAGUGGGAGUCCAGGAGGGAGGAGAGAGGAUCAAAAAUAGGAUUUCAAUCUUAGAGAACAUAAAGUUUUCAUGCUUAUAGGAACCAUCAAAGACCAGUCUCCUUCAGCCACCUCAAUUUACAGACAAAUAAAUAAAGCCCAGAAAGCUUAGCUGGUUUGCUCAAGGCACAUAGAUAAACUAGGACUAAAGAUUAAUGUCCCAGCUUCUGUUUCCUGAGUGAAGAAAACUAAGACCCAGCAAAGGAGAGUGACUCGCUCCAGUCACCCAAUCUACUGGGUUCCUAGCCUGGUGCUCUUUCCUCCACCCUCCCAGAAAAUCCGUAUGUUGAAAGCAAAUCCUCGGUGUGCUGGCAUCUGGGGGUGGGACCUUUGGGAGUGAUGAGGUCAGAGGGCACAGCCCUUGUUAGUGGGAUUGGUGCCCUUACGAGCAAGACCCUAGAGCACUCCCUCAUCCCUUUCCGCCCCAGGAGGACCCAAUGAAAAGACAGUUUAUGAACCAGGGAAUGGAGCAGACACCAAAUCUACAGGCGCCUUGAUCUUAGACGUCUCAGCCUCCAGAACUGUGAGAAAUAAAUUUUCUGUUCUUAUAAGCCACCUAGUUUACAGUAUUCUGUCAUAGGAGCGCAAACAGAAUAACGGAAUCACAGAGGUGAAGCAGCUCUGAGAAAUCAUGAGACAGCACCACAGCCGUGUCUGUGAUGUGACUGACAGGAGGCCAAGAUAAAGGUGCUGAACAGUGAAGAGUCUGACGAACUGUGAGUCCAGGUGUGGGGGACAUGAUUAGCCAUGAUGUUGGAAAGUCUUCCAGAAUAGGAGCAGAGAAAAAGACCAGGCACGAGGCUCUAGAAUCAUCCAGGAAGAUGAGAUAGGGUUCCAGAGGCCAAAGAGAAUGGGGAAAGGGUGGAAUAUGCAGACCAUGAAGGCUGCCUAAGUAAGGGCAGUCGUAAUUGCAAAACAGAGGUGGAAGGAGAGCUUGAAAGGGGUGGCGGGAAGCUGGGCCCUCUCAGGUUUCCCAAAGAGAUACCGGCAAAAUGGCCAUAGAGAGGACCGAGGAAUCACAGACAGGGAGAAGGUAGAGUUUCUCAGGACACAGAGUUUGAGAUUAGAGGCUCUAACUAGGAGAGCAUGGGGAAAGGUGCCACUGAGCCCAAGAGGAAGGAGAAUAUGGCUGGAGGUGCCGGGGGCUGAGGUUUGAGGAUAGGUUGGUGCUUUCCCAAAUGCGGAGUAGGGGAGGGCCAGAUUUGGGGAGGCCUUGGAUGCCUGUGCUUAUGAUGAGUGUGACGAGAUACUUAUGUGUCAGUUACUGGGCUAAGAGCCUGAGACACUUGUCUGUUAACCCUCGCCAGAUCCCUCUGAGACACGCAGAGUUGCCCUCAUUUCUCAGAUGAGGAAAUUGAAGCACAGAGAAGUUAAAUAACUUACCCAGUGUCCCAUAGCUUGUGAGCGGUAAAGCCAGGAUUUGAAUUCCGUCGGAUUCCAGAGUCCAAGCUUGUGACAGGUAUGCUUUGCAUCCUCCAUAAAAGCUGUUAGCACAAGAACUGAGGUGGUGGCAGCUGCCCGCUCCAGGUGACAGUAGGUUUUACUUACCACUUAGGGCUUGAAAGGAUAAUGUGGGUUUGUAUCCAGUCUCUGCUAUGGGUGGCUUAGUGAUAGGAUAACCUUCUUAACCUUACUGAACUGACCUUUGCUUUCUGUAGAGAUGCUGUAAUGAAAGUAAUAAUCAAGGAACCAAUUUCAGGGGAGCACCUGGAGUGUUUCUGUUAAAACAUAGUCACAUCCUGUCAUUGCUCAAAACCAUCCAGUAGCUUCUCAACUCAGCGUGAAAACUGGUCUUUACCAUGGCCUGCGAGACCCUAGACUAGCUGGUCUUUGACCUCAGUUGCUGUUUCUAGCUCCCUCCCUUUCUUGCUCCAGCACCUUUGGGCCUCCCUGCUCUUCCCUAAAGACACCAGGACCUCUCUUGGCCUAGGACAUUUCCCCCCCAGGUAUCUUAUUCAUUCUCCUGCUCCCCAAUUCAUUAAUCAAACUUCUCAGCCAAGUCUUCUCUCUCUCCCCUGCAUAAAAUUAUUCUCUAUUCCCUUAUCUGCCACUCCAGUUAUCUUUUGCCAUGUAACAAAUGUAGUGAGUUAUCUAAAAUUAUCUCCCCCCAAAUUUAGUGAGUUAAAAUGUCAGCAGACAUUUUAUUCUCAUAGUUUCUGAAGAUCAGUAAUUCUGGAAACUCUCAGCUGAGAGGUUCUGGUUUCUGGUUGUCUUAUAUGGUUGCAGUCAGAUGGUGGCUAGAACUGGAGUGAAGCGAGGUUUAAGUAUCUGGGGCCAUCUGCAUCUCUCUGUUUCUUUCCAUAUAGUCUGGAGCCCCUCAUGCGGUCUCUUCAUGUGGGCUAGUUUGAGCAGCCUCAAAGUAUGGUGAUCUCAGAGCAGCGGGCUGUUUAUAUGGUAGCUGAGUCUUUGUAAAUUAGCUUUCUAGCAAGUAAGGUGGGAGCUGCAUUGUCUCACAGGAUCUAGCCUUGGAAUUCAUGUAACAUCACUGCCACAUAUUCUGUUGGUUGAAACUUCAAAAAACUCCAUUCAGUUUCAUGGGGAGGAAACAAAGAACCCAUUUCUAUAUUGGAGAAAUGUCAAAGUCACAUUGUAAUAAGAGCCUGUGGGGUAAGAGAUAAUGUUGCCAACACAUGUGAGCAGUUCAACUGGCCACACUUCCUUUCCUUUCUCCUUCUCACCUCACACGAGAUUUAAUUGACUUCUUUAUCUUCUGUGCUGCCUGUCUUCCUGCACUAAAAUGCCAGUCUGUUUUGCUCACUGCUCUAUUCCCAGAGCCAAGAAUGGAGCCUGGCACAUAGGUUUUAAUAAGUGCUUAUUAAAUGAAUGAAUGAAUGAAUGAAUGAUGUCGUCUGCUAGUCCUAACUAUAGGUCUCUAAAUUAGACAUUAGUAUAACCAUUUUUCAGAUGAGGGAGAUGAAGCUCAGGAAGGUUUGGUAACUUCUGCAGGAUCACACAGCUACAAAAGGGGAAAACCGGCAUUUAAAUAAUGUCUUGCUUUUUUCCACUAUUCCAGACUGGCCAUCAUAGCUGCAGCUAUUUGGAUUCCCUCCACCCUCUACCCCAACCCCUGCAGGAGACGCACACUGCUACAACCUGAUACCAAAAUUCAGUUUAUCCCCACUUGGUUGCACUCAAGCUGAGAGCAAAGCAAUUGUACUUUCAACCCCUUAGAGCAGAUUUUUCUGAAGCAUGUUUCAGGGAUAACCACCACAUUUUGCGUUCAAACCGUACAUCUGGUUUGCUGCAAAAAAGACAAUUAAAUGAAAGGUUAGGCAGCGUUUUAAAUGGCCAGUUCAAACUUUUGGCUUAUUUUUUGCCUUGCUGUCUUUAUAGGCAUUUUACCAGUAUCUAUCACUAUUUCCCUUAGGGAGCCCCCAGAUCCGUGAUAUUUCAAAUAAUAAAGCCUCUCCAUUGGCUCUUUAAAAGAUUCAUGGUAAAACGGACCAUUAACAUUCACAGUUCCUCAUUUACGAGGCCAGAUUGCACUUAUUUCCAUAUUCCUCACUGUUUCUUCAGCGAGGAUUUCACAUAAUAGUGUUUGAAGGCUAACGACUUCAAAGCAAAUUCUUUACCAUUUUUAUCUUGAAAAAUAUUCAACAUUUGUAUAAUUAAAGUUAAGUCUUCCUAGAGAAAAUGACAACUCAAAUAAUCGUAAAUGUACCUCCAAGAAAGAAGCUGUCAGAAUGACAUUCAGCUGCAUACUCACAUUCUCUGAGGCCUUUGCUUCUCCCCCUGAUUUCUUGUAAUCUUUGAAGGUUAUGUCAUGGGUGACUUGAGAUCACUUUUUAAAUUAUUAUGACCUCGUUUCAGUAUGAGCUCUGAGGGUGAGGGGUUCUGUCUUCCCUUGGUUCCAGAUUUUUGCUGUUGUGUGGUUACCAGGCAGUUCAAAGAAAAGCCAACCCCCCGCCCCCAAGUCUUUCUUGAUCCUAAUUGUCCCACUAGCUACCAUCCUAUUUCUCUUUUCCUUGGAACUAAAAGUUUUUUCGCAAGUUUGUGUGCACUCUGUCUCCAUUUUAUCUCCUAAAUUUUGUUCAUAUAAUUUUUGUUUUUACAAUGUUAUGUUUCAAGCAUACAGCAAAGUGAUUCAGUUAUGCAUGUUCAUAUAUCCCUUUUCAGAUUCUUUUCCCAUAUGUUGUUACAGAAUACUGAGUAGAGUUCCCCGUGUCAUCUCCUAAAUUAUAUAGCAAAGAUUUGCCAAUGACCUCCAACCGCACUGGCAAAUUUAAGGGGAUUUUCAAGUUCUCUGUUUAAUUGACUGUCCCCUGCCUACCUCUCCAGUUUUUGCUUCAUGCUUCUCACUCACUCUCCUCAACGCUCAAGCAUCCCUUCAUCCAGGAUGUCUUCAGAUUAAUUGGACAGUUAGUAUCGUAAUUCAUGCAUUCUUGUACGUGGGCUUGCUAAGAUACUGAUGGAGAAGAGGUAGAACCCAGACGUGGGUCAGCCCAGAGCUAGGGAAAUUAACCCGUCUCCAGGUAGGGGGAACCUGGCAGCUUAACACUUGGUAUUCAAAAGGGCUCAGAAAACUUGUGCUGGACCUGGGCCAAUACUAGUUCUUGGGGUCCAAUUUAGUCAGUGUUCAGUAGGGGUGUCCAGGCAAUACCUAUAUUCAUUCAGUGAAAAUGUACCAUGUGUCAGUUCUGUGUUAGGCAUUGUACUAGGCACAGGGGAUACUAAGAUAGGUAAACACAGUAGCUUUCCCUUAGUUGCUCACUAGGGAAGUAAAGAGACAGAAAAAUGCAUAGACAACUGCAAAAAAAAUAUGUAUACAUAGAAAAGUACAGUUCAGCAAUGGUGUUCAUCUCGCUGCCAUGGAGGUAAAUAUUAUUCACUUUUUUUAAUCAGUUGCUCAUUUGAGGGUUUCCUAUCAGAGUUAUUAGAUGUGAUAGUCAUUGCUUUUCACAGGUAAACACAUGAAUAAAUAAAUGCAUUGGUGUUUGUAUAAACAGUUAUGAAAAGCUGGUAGAAUCCCGGGAACUCUUAAAAUUUUGCCACAUUACUUCCUCUAAGACCGUUUACCUCGCACAUUUCUUUACCCACACAAACACAACUGUUUUCUUCACUAUUUAGUCUUUUUAAACCUCACAUCUUUCAAUCAUCUCUCUCUCUCUCUAUCUCUCUCUCUCAUUUUUGGAGGUGGGGGCACACAGGUGUGGCAUAGGAAGUUCCCAGGCUAGGGGUCCAAUCAGAGGUAUAGCUGCUGGCCACAGCCACAGCCACAGCAACACCAGAUCCGAGCCGCAUCUGUGAGCUACAUCAGUUUGCAGCAAUGCCAGAUCCUUAACCCACAGAGCAAGGCCAGGGAUUGAACCCGCAGCCUUGUGGAUACUAGUCGGUUUCAUUUCCUCUAAGCUACCGUGGGAAUUCCUCCAUCAUCUCUUAAUUAUUCAUUUCCAUUCAUUAACUCUCCUGUCCAGAAUAAGAUAAAAAUGGUAGGAUGUCUGACUAGGGAGAGUAGAUUUUUGAUAGGCAGAAUUCAGAAGUUGAAGGAAAUAGUUAAGAGAGAUAUGAUGAACAACAACAAAAAAAUAAUAAUUUUAUGGUAUAACAACUUCUAGCCAUAUAUUAUAAAAAAAUAUGGCAUCAAGAGACGUGUUUGAAAAAGAAAUGAAAACUGUAAUAAAAAACUUAGAAAAUAACAAGAACAGUCAAUUUAUGGGAUGUGGUCAAAGCUGUGCUUAUUGUCAAAUGCAUAAUCUUAAAUGCUUUUAUAAUUUAAAGCAUAGGUGUCAGGAUUAGUUAGACCUGGAUUCAAAUCCCAGUAAUGUCACCAAAUGACAAAUGACUUUGCCUCUCUCAGCCUUUUUCUCCAUGUGUAAGACAGAAUAAUAAUGGCUUGCACUUACAAAGUGUCAAGAAUAGUGUCUAAUAUGAAAUAGUACUUACCAAGUAGCUGCUGUUGAAGAGUUAUUUAAGCGUUAUGGUUUUAUACAAUUAUUAAGUAAAAUUUUGAAAACUAAAACAUGUAAACAUUCUUAAUGGCUCAAAAACCUUGCAGUGAUGUGUCAUACCAGUCUUCAUCCAAGAAAUUCAUCUUUGUUCAUUUAUUUUGACUUGAUAUGAGUGCUUCUGGCAGUUCUUAAGCCCUCACCAAUUUUAUAUCAUAAGAUGUGAUAAACAGAUUAUUUGCUAAAAUAAUAUUCUUGCUUCCUUUUUUGGGAAUUUCCUCCAUAGAAACAGUUUGUACACAGCAAUAUUAAGCAUCAGAUCUGAUUGGCAACAAUUUCAGAUGCUUCAAAAGGCUUUUAAGAUGAGAAGGGUCCAUUUGGGUUAUCUGGAUUCUGAAACUGAAACUGCUCUGUUCUGUUUUUCUGGCUUCUGGGAGAGGAGGAGAUAUGAAUUCAAUUAGCACCUUGGUGUUUUCUUUAUCCUUCAUUUCAAUACGAGAGAUGGUUCACAUGCAUGGUGGUAUCAGGUUACAUCAAAAGGGGGGAACAGUUUCUUGGUUUUUCAUUUUCUACCAAAAAGGAAAGACACCCAUUUUGUUCUGCUCUAAUUAGUAUGAGAGCCAGUGCAUGACUUUUUGAGAACAGGCAGAUGCUUUGAAGGCGGUAUAACACAGGUCUUCAUUAAUCUCCAUGCAGGAUUUCUGGUUUAAACUGUCGAGGCCUAAGGUAAUGGCUCAGGAAGAGGACCGAGCACAGAGCUCUAACCAACCCAAGCCAGGUUUUAUAAAGAACAAGUCAAGGUGGUGAGAAAAUGCAUUCUCAUUAUCUCCCACUUCCUUAUACAUCAGAAAGACAAAAUUGGUUAUUUUAAUUGCAAUUUAGAAAUUUUUUAAAAAUUAUUUUAAAGUCAGUAACAAGCUUAAUUAUAAAGAUAUUCCUGGAGUUCCUACUGUGGUGCAGCAGAAACCAAUCUGGCUAGUGUCAGUGAGGAGGCAGGUUCGAUCCCUGGCCUCGCUCAGUGGGUUAGGGGUCUAGCAUUGCCGUGAGCUGUGGUGUAGGUCACAGACGCAGCUCCGAUCCCAUGUUGCUGUGGCUGUGGUGUAGGCCAGAAGCUCCAGCUCCAGUUCAACCACUACCCUGGGGAAUGUCCAUAUGCCACGGAUAUGGCCUUAAAAAAAAAAAAAAAAGAAGAUUUUCUGCGAAGGGACUGGGAUUAACUCUAGUUUACCAACCCCUUUUUUGUAGGGAGCCAGAAAUGGAAUCAUGUAGAAUAUCCACUCCAUUCCACCAUCAAAACCUUGCUUCUCUUUAUGAGGAAACAGGCCCACAGAGGGAAGAGCUCUGUCAUUUUCGGUAAAACACUUCAAGGCGGAGAUGCAUUCAGAGCAUCGCACAGGGCUGCCCAGAAGCGAAUUCCAUGUGAUGUGAGUGAAAAAAGCAUCAAAUGCCACGUGACAGUCACUGCUUGAAGGGUUACAUUAGUAUUAAAACUGGGUUUAAAAAAUUCUAAAGGGACCAACGGGCCAGCCACUGAAAGACCUGCAUAUGACCUCUCAUUUUCUUCUCUGUCUCUUAAGGAGAUAAUGUGGCUAUCAGAGCAAUAAGUACAGACAGUUGUCCAUCACACUUAAAACAUUACAUAUUAUGCAGGCAUCAGGAGCAGAAGGCUAAGAACAGCCACUGUGGGGAGCACCUUAGGAGUCAGUGAGGGAAUGAUGGGACGAAUGAAAGGGAUCAAGGGGGAGAAGUUCCAGUUACCCAUAAACAGAGACUAGAAAGGUAGAAUCAGCAGGCCAUCAGAGGGCGUGGGAUUGAAGGGUAGUGUUAAAGUGUUACAUGUGUUAUUGUUACCGCUGACUUGGGGUACAGCAUAGGAGGGUAAAUAAAAUCAGGAGGGCAUGGUGGAGAAUAGGUGUUAGGGAUCCGGGCGUCUGACACAGAUAUAUAUAGACCUAGACUGUGUUAUACUGGAAAAUGGUUAGCACCUGGCUCUCCUAGGAGGGCAGGGAAGUCCUCACUGGUGGCAUUUGCUUAUUUGUGUGGUAUAAAUAUUCCCCCUAUGACUGGUUUCAGGCUUCAACGUGAAGUUACUAAAGAGGGAGUUGGAAAGAGGUGUCCUCAACUGGUCCCCAGCCAAGGUUAAAGGCAGGAAGGUGCAGUCUACAAAAUCCAAGAAAACUUAAGACCAAAAGCUGAAGUCCAGAGCAGUUGUGCUAAGGUGGCCCAAGGAAUGACUCUAGAGGUCAUGACCCUGAAGAGGUGGAAGCAGAGAUUAGAAAGGACCCCUAGGAGUUCCCGUCGUGGCUCAGUGGUUAACGAAUCCAACUAGGAACCAUGAGGUUGUGGGUUCGAUCCCUGGGCUUGC